This 403-nucleotide ribosomal RNA is filed under the name uncultured bacterium. Its description in RNAcentral is "partial 16S ribosomal RNA". It matches the Rfam family "Bacterial small subunit ribosomal RNA", at positions 29 to 526 of the family's 1533-position model. The record is from RNAcentral.
AUUGAACGCUGGCGGCAGGCCUAACACAUGCAAGUCGAGCGAGCGGCGGACGGGUGAGUAAUGUAUGGGGACUGCCCGAUCGAGGGGGCUAACUACUGGAAACGGUGGCUAAUACCGCAUACUAUCGGAUAACCCAUAUGGGAUUCGCUAGUAGGUGGGGUAAAGGUGCCCCUAGGCGCCGCUCUAUAGCUGGUCUGAGAGGAUGAUCAGCCACACUGGGGCGGAGACACGGCCCAGACUCCGACGGAGGCAGCAGUGGGGAAUAUUGCACAAGGGGCGCAAGCCUGAUGCAGCCAUGCGGCGUGUAUGAAGAAGGCCUUAGGGUUGUAAAGUACUUUCAGCGGGGAGGCGUUACCCGAAGAAGAAGCACCGGCUAACUCCGUGCCAGCAGCCGCGGUAAUAC